Molecule: ribosomal RNA, 303 nt
Filed under: uncultured Fusobacterium sp.
Lineage: Bacteria; Fusobacteriati; Fusobacteriota; Fusobacteriia; Fusobacteriales; Fusobacteriaceae
Description: bacterial SSU rRNA
Rfam family: Bacterial small subunit ribosomal RNA
Source: RNAcentral
GGCUACACACGUGCUACAAUGGGUAGUACAGAGAGUCGCAAAGCCGUGAGGUGGAGCUAAUCUCAGAAAACUAUUCUUAGUUCGGAUUGUACUCUGCAACUCGAGUACAUAAAGUUGGAAUCGCUAGUAAUCGCGAAUCAGCAAUGUCGCGGUGAAUACGUUCUCGGGUCUUGUACACACCGCCCGUCACACCACGAGAGUUGGUUGCACCUGAAGUAGCAGGCCUAACCGCAAGGAGGGAUGCUCCGAGGGUGUGAUUAGCGAUUGGGGUGAAGUCGUAACAAGGUAUCCGUACGGGAACGU